GGGGGCGACCUGGCUUCGACGUGGGUCAUGAAACCUGAGGUGCAUGCCGAGGCGCAGAGGACCUCGUUAAUCCAGCUGCAAACCUUAUAGUUGCCAACGACGACAACUACGCACUAGCUGCUUAAUAACCAGCUUUAGUGCCCUCAGCCUGAUGUGUGCUUGUGCGCUCAGAUCACUGGGGUCGACCUACACAAGAUCGCGAUGAAGCACGUCCGGGGUGGAUUCGUUAAACUCUUUCCGGAAUCGUCGUAAGUUUUCCCUGCCAGUCGGGUAAUUUACGGUUAAACUAAUAGACUGAAUAAGCAUGUAGAGCCAACGGCGGAGGAUUUGCGGACGCGGGUUCGAUUCCCGCCGCCUCCACCA
This 363-nucleotide transfer-messenger RNA is filed under the name Gammaproteobacteria bacterium. It matches the Rfam family "transfer-messenger RNA". Rfam says of the family: Bacterial tmRNA, also known as 10Sa RNA or SsrA, is named for its dual tRNA and mRNA-like properties. Its role is to liberate the mRNA from a stalled ribosome. The record is from RNAcentral. Lineage: Bacteria; Pseudomonadati; Pseudomonadota; Gammaproteobacteria.